UUCUGGCUUCUCCAGCAUCAAGUCUAAGAUAAAGGACACAGAGAAAGAAAACCAGGGAAUUUACCAUGGAUUGCUCCACAGCAUUGUCUAGGCCUGGCCGGAGUUUUCCACCCUUCUGCCUCAGUCUCCCAGAGUGGAGGGAUCACAGCAGGGAAACAAGACCGAGGUGGACAGCACUGAACGAUUGGAAUGGGAGACAGAGCAUUUGUGAAGGAGGUGAUGUGCAGACUUCUAAAAAUUUAAUGAGGAUGUGAUUUGACAUGUGGACCCCCGUUGUUUGCUUGGGCAGAGCGGAGCAUGAUAAUCUGUUCAAGAUCAUCUCCAUUCCUGGAUGAAAUUAGGUUCUGGAAAACAUUCCUUUCAUGACUGUAAGCCUACAGUGAGCUUGCCUGCCUUGUAUGCCUUCCCCCGACUGAACCUGGCCCCUCCCAAACAGAUGUAACAGAUUAGUCGAGCUCCCCAUCUGCUGAUAGCCACCACUGCAUCUGCAUUUCUUGACCCUUAUCAGAAGAGAGGGGAACUGCUCUGUGCAGGGUCUGGAAG
Molecule: long non-coding RNA, 543 nt
Organism: Fukomys damarensis (Damara mole-rat)
Lineage: Eukaryota; Metazoa; Chordata; Mammalia; Rodentia; Bathyergidae
Exons: 3
Source: RefSeq, a predicted model, not a curated record